AAGGGUGUAGCUCAGUGGGAGAGCACAUGCCUGCCGUGCACAAGGUCCUGGGUUCAAUCCCCAGUGCCUCCU
Molecule: transfer RNA, 72 nt
Filed under: Camelus bactrianus (Bactrian camel)
Lineage: Eukaryota; Metazoa; Chordata; Mammalia; Artiodactyla; Camelidae
Also listed under: 1 other name
Rfam family: tRNA
About the family: Transfer RNA (tRNA) molecules are approximately 80 nucleotides in length. Their secondary structure includes four short double-helical elements and three loops (D, anti-codon, and T loops).
Source: Rfam by way of RNAcentral